UACGUAGGUGGCAAGCGUUGUCCGGAUUUACUGGGUGUAAAGGGCGUGCAGCCGGAGAGACAAGUCAGAUGUGAAAUCCACGGGCUCAACCCGUGAACUGCAUUUGAAACUGUUUCCCUUGAGUGUCGGAGAGGUAAUCGGAAUUCCUAGUGUAGCGGUGAAAUGCGUAGAUAUUAGGAAGAACACCAGUGGCGAAGGCGGAUUACUGGACGAUAACUGACGGUGAGGCGCGAAAGCGUGGGGAGCAAACAGG
RNAcentral lists this ribosomal RNA (253 nucleotides) under uncultured bacterium. RNAcentral describes it as "partial 16S ribosomal RNA". It matches the Rfam family "Bacterial small subunit ribosomal RNA", at positions 524 to 776 of the family's 1533-position model. The record is from RNAcentral.